Molecule: transfer RNA, 72 nt
Organism: Toxocara canis (dog roundworm)
Lineage: Eukaryota; Metazoa; Nematoda; Chromadorea; Rhabditida; Toxocaridae
Rfam family: tRNA
About the family: Transfer RNA (tRNA) molecules are approximately 80 nucleotides in length.
Source: Rfam
GCGACAGUAGCUCACUGGUAGAGCCGCCGAUUCAUGUUCGGGGAGACCCGGGUUCGAUUCCCGGUUGCUUCC